Molecule: transfer RNA, 77 nt
Filed under: Vibrio sp.
Lineage: Bacteria; Pseudomonadati; Pseudomonadota; Gammaproteobacteria; Vibrionales; Vibrionaceae
Also listed under: 3 other names
Description: tRNA-Arg
Rfam family: tRNA
About the family: Transfer RNA (tRNA) molecules are approximately 80 nucleotides in length. Their secondary structure includes four short double-helical elements and three loops (D, anti-codon, and T loops). Further hydrogen bonds mediate the characteristic L-shaped molecular structure. tRNAs have two regions of fundamental functional importance: the anti-codon, which is responsible for specific mRNA codon recognition, and the 3' end, to which the tRNAs corresponding amino acid is attached (by aminoacyl-tRNA synthetases). tRNAs cope with the degeneracy of the genetic code in two manners: having more than one tRNA (with a specific anti-codon) for a particular amino acid; and 'wobble' base-pairing, i.e. permitting non-standard base-pairing at the 3rd anti-codon position.
Source: RNAcentral
GCGCCCUUAGCUCAGCUGGAUAGAGCACGUCCCUUCUAAGGAUGUGGUCGAAGGUUCGAAUCCUUCAGGGCGUACCA